GUCAGUAGUAGGUGUUUCUUCUACAUGAGAUAGGUAAAGUAUAAGUAAAUUCAUUCCAUAGAUAUUGUGAAGAAACUUGCAUUGUUGUGCUUGAUUUUUGGAAAAUUCCACUGGCACAGAGACAUGAAUAAAAAGCAGUAACCCUCCAGAAUGUGUGGGAAUUCUCUCAUUGCACACCGAGUAACCUCAUGGGCUCCAGUGAGAGUCCAGAACUUUACAAGCUCUGUUGUUGUUCUUAGGCAAGUCAUAUGUACCAAGUAUUCGAGUUUAUUACCUUUAGGUGAUCUGUGAAAUCUGGGUUAUUUGGACCCUUUUGUUGUUACAGAGCUGCCCUCAAGAACUGGCUGUAUGAAGGUUUUUAUUACAAUGUUGUUCAUGAACACUGAUUUACCCAUGGGUUAGUUUAUAACUCCCGGGUCACCCAUGAGUGCUCACACAUGCUCACAAACACAAAGCAGCUAUCAGUUUGGAACAUACUUUUCUGCUGUAGAAGCAUGCGUGCCUAUUUGUGAAAGUCUAGCAAAAAAAAAAUCUACAUUCAUACACCCUGUCCCAGCUUCUUUGCCUGCAUUACUUGAAGCAGAACGUACCUUCUGGUAACUUCAAAGGCAAGCUGCAGGAGGGUGCAAACCAGUGAAGUGGGUGGUUGACUGGUAGUGUAGAGGUCUGGAUUCUGUUCUCCAUUUUUCAGUUUGACCUUCUGCCUGACCCUGGGACCUCUCUUUGUCCAUCUUGUCUAUUCACAUUGAUGGCUUUCACUCACUGCCUGUUGCUGGAUGCAUACUCCAGUCUGGUGUGCAAGUUCCUGAUCAAGUGAUGCAGAGCACAAAGGCAACUCUUGUACACCCUUUUUCACCAGUUUCCACAUGCAUUUGACCACGUAUCUGCAUAAAACUGCCUUGAGGUAAGAACUGGCACCUGGAACGUACCUAUUUAUCUACUGACUGUCUCAAGCAGCAGAGAAUGUGCCUAUCUCAAUAUCCUUUCCAAAGAUCUGUUGCCACAGUUUUUCUCCCAUCAUAGCACUUCACAUCCAUAUUUUGUGGCUAUUGAAUAGUAGGCUAAUUGGAAGGGAAAUAACUGUUGUUGUUUAAAACUUUACCUCUGAAGAUUGUGCUUUCCUAUUUAGAGUUAAAACUUUUACUAUAAGUUGAAGCUUUAG
This 1162-nucleotide long non-coding RNA is filed under the name Gallus gallus (chicken). RNAcentral's name for it is "lncRNA (ENSGALG00010021551.1)". The record is from RNAcentral. Lineage: Eukaryota; Metazoa; Chordata; Aves; Galliformes; Phasianidae.